This is a long non-coding RNA of Leptidea sinapis, 337 nucleotides long. RefSeq lists it as uncharacterized. Lineage: Eukaryota; Metazoa; Arthropoda; Insecta; Lepidoptera; Pieridae. The transcript is spliced from 3 exons. The record is from RefSeq and is a predicted model, not a curated record.
CUCAUUUUGACAUAUAAUAUACAAAUGGCUACGAAAGAACGUUUAAAACUCAGAAGUAUUUAUGCAUUGAAUUAAUUUCGUUCGUUUUCCGUGUUAUUUAUACUUCAAGAAUCAACGUGAUAAAAACUCCCGCUACAUGGCCAACAGCGCCAAAAUGGGGAAUAUCAAACAGGCACGACAGCACUUUGACAGCCGCCAGAUGCGAUACGGGUCAGUUUAAAUUUAAAUACUUAAGGCGAUAAGAAUGACUUAUCGGGUAUAUUGGGACAGCUUUAGAGUAUUGACUGCUAAUUACUGACAGUAGAAGGUAAUAAUUUAUCUCUAUCGGUAGUAUAUU